Molecule: ribosomal RNA, 500 nt
Filed under: uncultured Glomeromycotina
Lineage: Eukaryota; Fungi; Glomeromycota
Description: partial small subunit ribosomal RNA
Rfam family: Eukaryotic small subunit ribosomal RNA
Source: RNAcentral
CCAAUAGCGUAUAUUAAAGUUGUUGCAGUUAAAAAGCUCGUAGUUGAAUUUCGGGAUCAGUACGCUGGUCGUGCCUUCGGUAUGUACUGGUGUUACUGGUUCCUACCUUCUGACGAACCGUCAUGUCAUUAAUUUGGUGUGGCGGGGAAUCAGGACUGUUACUUUGAAAAAAUUAGAGUGUUUAAAGCAGGCUCGCGCUUGAAUACAUUAGCAUGGAAUAAUGAAAUAGGACGUUCGAUCCUAUUUUGUUGGUUUCUAGGAUUGACGUAAUGAUUAAUAGGGAUAGUUGGGGGCAUUAUUAUUCAACUGUCAGAGGUGAAAUUCUUGGAUUUAUUGAAGACUAACUACUGCGAAAGCAUUUGCCAAGGAUGUUUUCAUUAAUCAAGAACGAAAGUUAGGGGAUCGAAGACGAUCAGAUACCGUCGUAGUCUUAACCAUAAACUAUGCCGACUAGGGAUCGGAUGAUGUUAAUUUUUUAAUGACUCAUUCGGCGCCUUACG